This 403-nucleotide ribosomal RNA is filed under the name uncultured bacterium. RNAcentral's name for it is "bacterial SSU rRNA". It matches the Rfam family "Bacterial small subunit ribosomal RNA", at positions 355 to 776 of the family's 1533-position model. The record is from RNAcentral.
UGAGGAAUUUUCCGCAAUGGGCGAAAGCCUGACGGAGCGACGCCGUGUGUGCGAUGAAGUCUUUCGGGAUGUAAAGCACUGUCAGAGGGAACGAUAUUGACGGUACCCUCAGAGGAAGGCCCGGCUAACUACGUGCCAGCAGCCGCGGUAAUACGUAGGGGCCAAGCGUUGUCCGGAAUCACUGGGCGUAAAGCGUAUGUAGGUUGCUUGAUAAGUCAGAUGUUAAAUUCCCGAGCUCAACUCGGGACCGCAUUUGAUACUGUCAGACUUGAGAAUGGUAGAGGAAAGCGGAACUUCCGGUGUAGCGGUGAAAUGCGUAGAUAUCGGAAGGAACACCAGUGGCGAAGGCGGCUUUCUGGGCCAUUUCUGACACUGAGAUACGAAAGCCAGGGGAGCAAACGGG